CGUGUAGGCGGGUCGGAAAGUCGGGCGUGAAAGCCCCAGGCUCAACCUGGGAACUGCACUCGAAACUUCCGGUCUAGAGUGGUGGAGAGGGAAGUGGAAUUCCUGGUGUAGAGGUGAAAUUCGUAGAUAUCAGGAGGAACACCAGUGGCGAAGGCGGCUUCCUGGACACCAACUGACGCUGAGACGCGAAAGCGUGGGGAGCAAACA
RNAcentral lists this ribosomal RNA (207 nucleotides) under uncultured bacterium. Its description in RNAcentral is "partial 16S ribosomal RNA". It matches the Rfam family "Bacterial small subunit ribosomal RNA", at positions 568 to 774 of the family's 1533-position model. The record is from RNAcentral.